UCACUCUGUAGACCAGACUGGCCUGA
RNAcentral lists this non-coding RNA (26 nucleotides) under Mus musculus (house mouse). The record is from RNAcentral. Lineage: Eukaryota; Metazoa; Chordata; Mammalia; Rodentia; Muridae.